Molecule: ribosomal RNA, 1026 nt
Filed under: uncultured bacterium
Lineage: Bacteria
Description: bacterial SSU rRNA
Rfam family: Bacterial small subunit ribosomal RNA
Source: RNAcentral
AGUGGGGAAUAUUGCACAAUGGAGGAAACUCUGAUGCAGCCAUGCCGCGUGUGUGAAGAAGGCUUUCGGGUUGUAAAGCACUUUCAGUGGGGAGGAAAGGGUAUGUUUUAAUAGAACAUAUCUGUGACGUUACCCACAGAAGAAGCACCGGCUAACUCCGUGCCAGCAGCCGCGGUAAUACGGAGGGUGCGAGCGUUAAUCGGAAUUACUGGGCGUAAAGCGCGCGUAGGUGGUUAAUUAAGUCAGAUGUGAAAGCCCAGGGCUCAACCUUGGAACUGCAUUUGAAACUGGUUAACUAGAGUUUUGUAGAGGGUGGUAGAAUUUCAGGUGUAGCGGUGAAAUGCGUAGAGAUCUGAAGGAAUACCAGUGGCGAAGGCGGCCACCUGGACAAAGACUGACACUGAGGCGCGAAGGCGUGGGGAGCAAACGGGAUUAGAUACCCCGGUAGUCCACGCAGUAAACGAUGUCUAUUAGAAGUUUGUGGCUAUAUGCCGUGGGUUUCAAAGCUAACGCAUUAAAUAGACCGCCUGGGGAGUACGGCCGCAAGGUUAAAACUCAAAUGAAUUGACGGGGGCCCGCACAAGCGGUGGAGCAUGUGGUUUAAUUCGAUGCAACGCGAAGAACCUUACCAUCCCUUGACAUCCAGAGAAUCAUCGAGAGAUCGACGAGUGCCUUCGGGAACUCUGAGACAGGUGCUGCAUGGCUGUCGUCAGCUCGUGUUGUGAAAUGUUGGGUUAAGUCCCGCAACGAGCGCAACCCUUAUCCUUACUUGCCAGCGGGUUAUGCCGGGAACUUUAGGGAGACUGCCGGUGAUAAACCGGAGGAAGGUGGGGACGACGUCAAGUCAUCAUGGCCCUUACGGGAUGGGCUACACACGUGCUACAAUGGCAGAUACAAAGGGUUGCUAACCUGCGAGGGUAUGCGAAUCUCAUAAAGUCUGUCGUAGUCCGGAUCGGAGUCUGCAACUCGACUCCGUGAAGUUGGAAUCGCUAGUAAUCGUGGAUCAGAAUGCCACGGUGAAUACGU